This 253-nucleotide ribosomal RNA is filed under the name uncultured bacterium. Its description in RNAcentral is "partial 16S ribosomal RNA". It matches the Rfam family "Bacterial small subunit ribosomal RNA", at positions 524 to 776 of the family's 1533-position model. The record is from RNAcentral.
GACGGAGGGUGCAAGCGUUGUUCGGAAUUACUGGGCGUAAAGGGCGCGUAGGCGGUCGACCAAGUCCGGGGUGAAAUCUUUCGGCUUAACCGGAAAAGUGCCUUGGAUACUGGCCGGCUGGAGGGAGGUAGGGGCAGGUGGAACUUCCAGUGGAGCGGUGAAAUGCGUUGAUAUUGGAAGGAACGCCGGUGGCGAAAGCGACCUGCUGGACCUCUUCUGACGCUGAGGCGCGAAAGCUAGGGGAGCAAACGGG